Molecule: long non-coding RNA, 181 nt
Organism: Magnolia sinica
Lineage: Eukaryota; Viridiplantae; Streptophyta; Magnoliopsida; Magnoliales; Magnoliaceae
Exons: 3
Source: RefSeq, a predicted model, not a curated record
GUCUUGAAUUACUGAACAAUCUUCUCCGUAACAAUGCAUCCGACCAGAUUUUACUGAAGGAAACUGUGGGAUUCGAAGCGUUAAUUUCAAUUAUGAAGCUUCAAAAAGGUAGUGCCUACAGUUUCACCCAGCAAAAGAUGAAAACGGCUGCAGAUGUCUGUGUGCUUUAUGAUAUGAACAG